This 732-nucleotide long non-coding RNA is filed under the name Setaria viridis. RNAcentral's name for it is "long non-coding RNA (SVIR_LNC001003)". The record is from RNAcentral. Lineage: Eukaryota; Viridiplantae; Streptophyta; Magnoliopsida; Poales; Poaceae.
GGAUUCUUCGGCCACUGAAAGAAAAUGCAAACACGAGAACCAUUUUUGUUGGGCUAUGUGAGCGGUGGGCCGAAGUCUAAACAACACCUGGUCGUGGGCUCUUAGCCAUGUCUGAAAAAUGUUGCUGCUCAUAAGAGGAAGAAGAAGAAGAAGAACGAUGGCUGAAAUGUCUCCGAACUCGAAUUUUCCAAUCGAGUGAUCGAUUGACCUUUAUCCCGUGAGGAGAUCCCAGCGUCGUGAUCCAACACGCGCAACGAACUCCUCCCCGGCAGCGCACGCGCCUUCGCCUUCCGCGUCCGAAACGGAAACGAACCAAGCCGUGUCGCUGGCUCGCUGCCACGCCACUAUGCCAGUCUAUAAAACCAGCGUGACGACGCGGCGAUCACAAUCGAGCCAGCACUGCCUCCGAACGGGCUCUCGCUGACGCCGAGCGCGACCACACCGACCAGUGACCCGCUGCCGAGGUUGUUCCCAUGGAGGCGUUCCUCGCCGCAAUGAUCUUCUGCGAUGCGCAACGCCAGAAAGAACCGCGAGGACGUGGUCAGGCUAAGACUGGCGGCGCCGCCAGUGACGGAGGCAGCGGGACGCCCGCCGACGCGCCCUUCGAUGGCCUGCGCUGCUUACAGGCCGUCGUAUUCCGCAUCGACUGAUAGAUCGAUCGAUGGAUCAGGACUCUUCAGAAAACCGUGCUACGGUCUUCAAUUUCCUUUAAUCGUGUUUAUGGCUGCUCGU